GAGAACCUCUGCCAAAACAAAACUAGUUACAUUGGUGGUGAAAUCCUCUCUGCUCCAACUUGACAUCCCUUUCAUUGAAGGCCUUCCUUGAGAUGGAUUAAAAGUAUGAGAAAGGAACAUUUAUUAGGCACUCAGACGUCACGAAUGUGUGUUAAGCACUGAACAGAUAUCCAAGCAGAAGGUCUGGGUUUACCUUUCAGCAGGAAGAUGUUGCCAUGAGGUGCAGCAUGAGCUGAGUGCCAGCCACAAUUGUAGCAGAAGAAGAAACCUAAGAGAGACUGAAUUUUCCGUACAGCCUUCCUCAGCCACAUCCUUCCAUCAUGCCGUUUCUGCCCUGAAGCCAGCAUCAUAGAGUAAAUCCGCUGGAAAACACCGGAAACUGUGAUCCGAAUAAACCUCUCC
Long non-coding RNA from Heterocephalus glaber (naked mole-rat), 402 nucleotides. NCBI's taxonomy places the organism in Eukaryota, Metazoa, Chordata, Mammalia, Rodentia, Bathyergidae. The record is from Ensembl.